RNAcentral lists this ribosomal RNA (258 nucleotides) under uncultured bacterium. RNAcentral's name for it is "partial 16S ribosomal RNA". It matches the Rfam family "Bacterial small subunit ribosomal RNA", at positions 524 to 776 of the family's 1533-position model. The record is from RNAcentral.
UACGUAGGGUGCGAGCGUUUGUCCGGAAUUAUUGGGCGUAAAGAGCUCGUAGGCGGUUUGUCGCGUCUGCCGUGAAAGUCCGGGGCUCAACUCCGGAUCUGCGGUGGGUACGGGCAGACUAGAGUGAUGUAGGGGAGACUGGAAUUCCUGGAUGUAGCGGUGAAAUGACGCAGAUAUCAGGAGGAACACCGAUGGCGAAGGCAGGUCUCUGGGCAUUAAACUGACGCUGGAGGAGCGAAAGCAUGGGGAGCGAACAGG